GGGUUGUGAGGUUAAGCGACCAAGCGUACACGGUGGAUGCCCUGGCAGUCAGAGGCGAUGAAGGACGUGCUAAUCUGCGAAAAGCGCCGGUAAGGUGAUAUGAACCGUUAUAACCGGCGAUGUCCGAAUGGGGAAACCCAGUGUGACUCGUCACACUAUCAUUAACUGAAUCCAUAGGUUAAUGAGGCGAACCGGGGGAACUGAAACAUCUAAGUACCCCGAGGAAAAGAAAUCAACCGAGAUUCCCCCAGUAGCGGCGAGCGAACGGGGAGCAGCCCAGAGCCUGAAUCAGCAUGUGUGUUAGUGGAAGCGUCUGGAAAGGCGCGCGAUACAGGGUGACAGCCCCGUACACAAAAGCGCAUAUGCUGUGAGCUCGAUGAGUAGGGCGGGACACGUGGUAUCCUGUCUGAAUAUGGGGGGACC
RNAcentral lists this ribosomal RNA (423 nucleotides) under Salmonella enterica subsp. arizonae serovar 41:z4,z23:-. Its description in RNAcentral is "bacterial LSU rRNA". It matches the Rfam family "Bacterial large subunit ribosomal RNA", at positions 1 to 454 of the family's 2925-position model. The record is from RNAcentral. Lineage: Bacteria; Pseudomonadati; Pseudomonadota; Gammaproteobacteria; Enterobacterales; Enterobacteriaceae.